This 500-nucleotide ribosomal RNA is filed under the name uncultured bacterium. RNAcentral's name for it is "partial 16S ribosomal RNA". It matches the Rfam family "Bacterial small subunit ribosomal RNA", at positions 29 to 523 of the family's 1533-position model. The record is from RNAcentral.
AUUGAACGCUGGCGGCAUGCCUUACACAUGCAAGUCGAACGGCAGCGCGGACUUCGGUCUGGCGGCGAGUGGCGAACGGGUGAGUAAUACAUCGGAACGUACCCUGUUGUGGGGGAUAACUAGUCGAAAGAUUAGCUAAUACCGCAUACGACCUGAGGGUGAAAGUGGGGGACCGCAAGGCCUCACGCAGCAGGAGCGGCCGAUGUCUGAUUAGCUAGUUGGUGGGGUAAAGGCCCACCAAGGCGACGAUCAGUAGCUGGUCUGAGAGGACGAUCAGCCAGAGUGGUAAUGAGAAACGGCCCAGGCUCCUACGGGAGGCAGGAGUGGGGAAUUUUGGACAAUGGGGGCAACCCUGAUCCAGCAAUGCCGCGUGUGUGAAGAAGGCCUUCGGGUUGUAAAGCACUUUUGUCCGGAAAGAAAUCGCGCUGGUUAAUACCUGGCGUGGAUGACGGUACCGGAAGAAUAAGCACCGGCUAACUACGUGCCAGCAGCCGCCGUAA